GUGGGUGUAGCUCAGUAACAGAGCACAUGCUUAGCAUGCACGAGGCCCUGGGUUCAAUCCCCAGUCCUUCCA
This 72-nucleotide transfer RNA is filed under the name Camelus bactrianus (Bactrian camel). It matches the Rfam family "tRNA". Rfam says of the family: Transfer RNA (tRNA) molecules are approximately 80 nucleotides in length. Their secondary structure includes four short double-helical elements and three loops (D, anti-codon, and T loops). Further hydrogen bonds mediate the characteristic L-shaped molecular structure. tRNAs have two regions of fundamental functional importance: the anti-codon, which is responsible for specific mRNA codon recognition, and the 3' end, to which the tRNAs corresponding amino acid is attached (by aminoacyl-tRNA synthetases). tRNAs cope with the degeneracy of the genetic code in two manners: having more than one tRNA (with a specific anti-codon) for a particular amino acid; and 'wobble' base-pairing, i.e. permitting non-standard base-pairing at the 3rd anti-codon position. RNAcentral also lists the same sequence under 2 other names. The record is from Rfam by way of RNAcentral. Lineage: Eukaryota; Metazoa; Chordata; Mammalia; Artiodactyla; Camelidae.